GAUUUUACAAGUCUUGUUGGACAAGUUAGGUUGGUAGAUUUCUUGUUCAAAACUCUCAAAGGCCCAAUUAGGUUCAGUCCUAGAAUUCUUGUUUUUUCUUUACAUAAAAAAAUUCUUGGAUUUAAGUAUUUAACUAAUUAGUUACUAUCCAUUAAAAAUUAUACCAGCUAACCAGUGCUUUGUGAGAGUCGACAACAUCAUGAAUUCAUGACUUAAAACACGAACACUCCUGAAAAUAAUGUUCUCCCUCAUCUUCACCAACACUGCAUCUUCGACAACAUCAAGUUUCUCCUUCCAAACCCACCCACCCCCCCCCCCCCCCCCCCCCCCCCCCAGCACACACACGAAAACAUAUAUAUAUAUAGUAUCAAGAUCAUAUAUACAAAUAACACACUCACGUUCUUUAUUUUAAUCUGAGUGAUAAAUAUAUAUAUAGUCAGCGACUAAUAGAUAUGACGACAGCUAAAAACAAAAAGAAAAAAAAUAUCAAAUUGAAAGCAGUAAUAUAAGCUGUAUCAUCACGAUCUUUCUACAGCUGUUUGCAUUAUGUUCAGAGCGAGCAAAAUAGCACCCAAGGAAAAGGAUAAAGUCGCACCCCCCCUGCAAAAUGUGACAAGAGAAACAUUCUGAGAAAGUACAUAUUCAGUAGCGCCCCCAAUUGAGCGAACGUAAAGGCGAAAACCUAAAAUUUCUGAGACUGAAAUUCGACGCUUCCACCGGUGUUAGUCGUCGCCGGUAGGUCUUGCCUUCUCGUGGUGACCUGUCUCUCUCCUUCCUCAGCCAUGGAUUCGUUGGAUGGCUUCUCAGCUCCGCCGUCGUCAACGGAUGCGUCUCCUCCUUUUACGAAUCCGUCUCUCACUUCGGAUUUAGUUGCAGCUCCUCUCCCUACGUCAUCUCCGCAAUCUCCUCCCUCUUCGUCG
This 920-nucleotide long non-coding RNA is filed under the name Brassica rapa (field mustard). RNAcentral describes it as "long non-coding RNA (BRAP_LNC007393)". The record is from RNAcentral. Lineage: Eukaryota; Viridiplantae; Streptophyta; Magnoliopsida; Brassicales; Brassicaceae.